RNAcentral lists this ribosomal RNA (159 nucleotides) under uncultured Thauera sp. RNAcentral's name for it is "partial 16S ribosomal RNA". It matches the Rfam family "Bacterial small subunit ribosomal RNA", at positions 1225 to 1382 of the family's 1533-position model. The record is from RNAcentral. Lineage: Bacteria; Pseudomonadati; Pseudomonadota; Betaproteobacteria; Rhodocyclales; Zoogloeaceae.
AUACAAUGGUCGGUACAGAGGGUUGCCAAAGCCGCGAGGUGGAGCCAAUCCCUUAAAGCCGAUCGUAGUCCGGAUCGUAGUCUGCAACUCGACUACGUGAAGUCGGAAUCGCUAGUAAUCGCAGAUCAGCAUGCUGCGGUGAAUACGUUCCCGGGUCUU